GCCUUCAAACCUAGUCCUCUUUUAUUACAUGUGUUCAUUGCAUACUAACAAAUAUAUUCUAUUUGUCAAACAAGUGAAUCACAUUGCAAAGCAUAAUAUUUCUAAAUAUCCUUUCCCCAGACUCAGAACUAGACUGUUCCAAUGAGGAGAUUGGUGUUCAUUGUAGUGAAAAACUUGAGGUAGCACUUGCCUUCACACCACAUCAAAUAUAUGCCCUAUCAACUUUCAAUAGUAGAAUAAAGGCCUACCAUGGUUUCAACAGGUAAUGGGGAAUAAGGGUUCAAUUCCAGCGAGGGAGCCUGAGAAACAGCUACCACAUCCAAGAAAGG
This 329-nucleotide non-coding RNA is filed under the name Termitomyces sp. J132. RNAcentral describes it as "Eukaryotic small subunit ribosomal RNA". It matches the Rfam family "Eukaryotic small subunit ribosomal RNA", at positions 124 to 425 of the family's 1831-position model. The record is from Rfam by way of RNAcentral. Lineage: Eukaryota; Fungi; Basidiomycota; Agaricomycetes; Agaricales; Lyophyllaceae.